This 72-nucleotide transfer RNA is filed under the name Myxococcales bacterium. RNAcentral describes it as "tRNA-Pro". It matches the Rfam family "tRNA". From Rfam's summary of the family: Transfer RNA (tRNA) molecules are approximately 80 nucleotides in length. The record is from RNAcentral. RNAcentral also lists the same sequence under 1 other name. Lineage: Bacteria; Pseudomonadati; Myxococcota; Myxococcia; Myxococcales.
CGGAGCGUGGCGCAGUAGCAGCGCGCUGGUCUGGGGGACCAGAGGUCGCAGGUGCAAUCCCUGUCGCUCCGA